RNAcentral lists this ribosomal RNA (253 nucleotides) under uncultured bacterium. RNAcentral describes it as "partial 16S ribosomal RNA". It matches the Rfam family "Bacterial small subunit ribosomal RNA", at positions 524 to 776 of the family's 1533-position model. The record is from RNAcentral.
GACGGAGGGGGCUAGCGUUGUUCGGAAUUACUGGGCGUAAAGCGCACGUAGGUGGCGACGUAAGUCGGGUGUGAAAGCCCCGGGCUCAACCUGGGAAUUGCAUUCGAGACUGCAUUGCUGGAGUACGGAAGAGGAAGGCGGAAUUCCCGGUGUAGCGGUGAAAUGCGUAGAUAUCGGGAGGAACAUCAGUGGCGAAGGCGGCCUUCUGGUCCAGUACUGACACUCAAGUGCGAAAGCGUGGGGAGCAAACAGG